GGUGGGUUACCUCCCAGGAGCAGAUGACUGGCAUGGUUAGUGAUCACUAGGCCAUGAAUCUCAUGGAUCCCAUGAUACAGGUAUCUGGUCCAGAUCCGACGGAGACAAGCAAAAUCGUGCUGCUGCUUCUUCUUUCGAUUGAAAAUCCAGGUGAAAACUUUCAAGAACUCAGGAC
This is a long non-coding RNA of Triticum aestivum (bread wheat), 175 nucleotides long. RefSeq lists it as uncharacterized. Lineage: Eukaryota; Viridiplantae; Streptophyta; Magnoliopsida; Poales; Poaceae. The record is from RefSeq and is a predicted model, not a curated record. The transcript is spliced from 3 exons.